Molecule: ribosomal RNA, 253 nt
Filed under: uncultured bacterium
Lineage: Bacteria
Description: partial 16S ribosomal RNA
Rfam family: Bacterial small subunit ribosomal RNA
Source: RNAcentral
UACGUAGGGUGCGAGCGUUAAUCGGAAUUACUGGGCGUAAAGCGUGCGCAGGCGGUUUUGUAAGCCAGAUGUGAAAGCCCCGGGCUUAACCUGGGAAUGGCAUUUGGGACUGCAAGGCUUGAGUGCGGCAGAGGAGACUGGAAUUCCUGGUGUAGCAGUGAAAUGCGUAGAUAUCGUGAGGAACACCAGAGGCGAAGGCGGUUACCUGGACAGUUACUGACGCUCAGGCACGAAAGCAUGGGGAGCAAAAGGG